GCAUGCUUAUAGCAUAGCGUUAAUGCAUUGGAUCCCAUUAGAACUCCGCAGCUAAGUGCACUCGAGCUAGAGUAGUAUUGGGAUGGGUGAUCGCCCGGAAAGUCCUAGUGUCUUACAUGCC
Non-coding RNA from Picea glauca (white spruce), 121 nucleotides. NCBI's taxonomy places the organism in Eukaryota, Viridiplantae, Streptophyta, Pinopsida, Pinales, Pinaceae. The record is from Rfam.